AGACAAAUAACUAAACAUAAGUAUGUCAAUUACACUGAUAAAAUGAUUAAAACUAUCUUUGUCUU
Molecule: transfer RNA, 65 nt
Filed under: Bemisia tabaci
Lineage: Eukaryota; Metazoa; Arthropoda; Insecta; Hemiptera; Aleyrodidae
Description: tRNA-Val
Source: RNAcentral